This 1791-nucleotide ribosomal RNA is filed under the name Triticum aestivum (bread wheat). Its description in RNAcentral is "partial small subunit ribosomal RNA". The record is from RNAcentral. Lineage: Eukaryota; Viridiplantae; Streptophyta; Magnoliopsida; Poales; Poaceae.
AUGUCGUCGGGGAAGGGGGAGGCGAAGGUGCCGGUGGCGGGGCGGCGGAACGUGCUGGUGACGAGCGCGCUGCCGUACGUGAACAACGUGCCGCACCUGGGCAACAUCAUCGGCUGCGUGCUCAGCGCCGACGUCUUCGCGCGCUACUGCCGCCUCCGCGGCCACAACGUGCUCUACGUCUGCGGCACCGACGAGUACGGCACCGCCACCGAGAACAAGGCCAUCGAGGAGGGCUGCUCCCCUCUGGAGAUCUGCGACAAGUACCAUGCAAUCCACAAGGAAGUGUACGAGUGGUUCAACAUCAGCUUCGACCACUUCGGCCGGACAUCCACCCCGCAGCAGACAGAGAUCUGCCAAUCGAUUUUCCACAAGCUGCUGGACAACAACUGGCUCUCAGAGAACACAAUGCAGCAGCUCUACUGCGAAUCAUGCCAAAGAUUCUUGGCGGACAGAUUCGUCGUGGGCUCAUGCCCCAUGGAGGGAUGCGGCAACGACACCGCGAGGGGCGAUCAGUGCGACAGAUGCGGGAGGCUGCUGAAUUCGACCGAGCUGAUUGAUCCCAGAUGCAAGGUUUGUGAGGGCAUACCGGUCGUCCGCCAUACGGACCACUUGUUCUUGGAGCUUCCCUUGUUGGAGGAGAAACUGGAGAAGUACAUCGACGAGGCCUCGGCGACCGGAUCAUGGAGCCAGAACGCAGUUCGCAUCACGGAUGCCUGGUUGAAGGAAGGGCUGAGGCCUCGCUGCAUCACCAGGGAUUUGAAAUGGGGCGUCCCUGUCCCACAUGAGAAGUACAAGGAUAAGGUGUUCUAUGUCUGGUUCGAUGCGCCGAUCGGAUAUAUUUCCAUCACGGCCUGCUACACGCCCGAGUGGGAAAAGUGGUGGAAGAACCCAGAGAAUGUCGAAUUGUAUCAGUUUAUGGGCAAAGACAACGUCCCAUUCCACACGGUCAUGUUUCCCUCUGCUCUACUUGGUACUGGUGAAAACUGGACUCUGAUGAAGAAUAUUAGUGUGACUGAAUAUCUCAACUAUGAAUCAGGAAAGUUCUCGAAAACUAAGGGCAUCGGAGUCUUUGGCAAUGACGCCAAAGCCACAAAUAUUCCUGCUGAUGUGUGGCGAUACUACUUGCUUAGUAAUCGUCCUGAGGCAUCAGAUGCAGUUUUCACAUGGGGAGGUUUGCAGAUAAAGCAUAACAACGAGCUGCUAAAGAAUUUGGGCAACUUCAUCUAUCGAGUGCUAAGCUUUAUCGCAAAACCAGAGGGAGCUGGCUACGGCUCCAUCAUACCUGAAGCACCUAAUGCUGAUAUACAUCCAUUGAGUCAGUCGUUAGCAGAAACUGUUGGUAAUUUGAUUCAGCAGUAUACUGAUGCAAUGGACAAGGUCAAACUAAAACAAGGGCUGAAAAUUGCAAUGGCCAUCUCUAGUGAGGGAAAUGCUUACCUUCAAGAGAGUCAAUUUUGGAAGCUUUACCAACAAGAUCCAGCUAGUUGCGCGACUGUGAUGAAAACUUCAGUUGGAGUUGUCUACCUUCUCGCUUGUUUGCUAGAGCCUUUCAUGCCGUCCUUCUCAAAAGAUGUCUUGCAACAGCUGAAUCUCUGUCCGAAUGAGCAUAUUUCUUUUGCCGAUGAAAAGGGGGAGAGUGACAAGGCGAAAAGGCCUUGGGAUCUCAUACCAUCAAACCACAGGAUUGGGAAAAUUGUGCCUUUGUUCACAGAGUUGAAAGAUGAUGCAGUGGAUAGCUUCAGGGAAACAUUUGCAGGCAGUCAGACCGAAAGAAACGCAAGGGCUAAUUAA